GGGUGUUCCAAGCUGGGAUUUGCCCCAGCUAAAGAUGGCGAAAAGGUGUCCCAAGAUGGAGGCCGCUGCUCUCAGAGUUGGGGUGUCCUGUCGGGUGGGGCUGGGGGGUGUUGUGAGUGCCGCGUUCAGAGAUACAGCUCUGUGGGAUUUAGUAUUGUGGCUGGCAGCUCUCACACAGACCUAGUGCUGUGUCCCCAGGUGCAGGCUACCACAUGUAGGGGACUGUGGCAGUGGUUGCAGUGUCCCAAGAUGGAGACUACCAGAGAAGUCCUGUGUUGGUAGAUGGGGGACCACAUGGAAGUGGUGGCCAGAGUUCCUUUGCAUGGCCUGUGGCCAGAUGACCUGUGUGGGAGUGGCGGCUGGUAUUCCGGAGUGGGUGCUAAUGCCAAUGGUCCUAUUCAGCACCUGGAGGACCUGCAUGGAGGAGUGGUUGGUAGUCCUGUGCUGAUGCUGAUGCCUGGAGCUUGUUUGGCACGGCAGCUGUGAUUUCUGUGUGGGAACAGCAGUUGGGGGUCCUCUAAUCACUCACAGAGUAACAGUAUUCCCACUACUUGAAUCACAGGUCCUAGAAUGACACAGAAUGCAAUCUCCCUCAAGCCUGCCAUCUUAGAUCCUCUGGAGGCAUGUUUUUAUGAUACACUUUUCUGAUUUGCACAAAGGCAAGUUAUUGAUUGCUAUAUUACAAAUCACCUCAAAUUUUAAUGGCUUAAAAUAGUGAUUUCCUUUUUUUUUUUUUUUUUCCUGGGAGUUGGCUAUGUGGUUCUAUUGGUUUCACCUGGACUCACUUGUGGCUGCAUUGAGUCCAGGUGAAACCUGAAAGGCAAGUGACUCACCUGAGACAGAGAUUCAACCGAGAGAUUUAUU
Molecule: long non-coding RNA, 864 nt
Filed under: Marmota monax (woodchuck)
Lineage: Eukaryota; Metazoa; Chordata; Mammalia; Rodentia; Sciuridae
Source: RNAcentral